UACGUAGGGGGCUAGCGUUAUCCGGAAUCAUUGGGCGUAAAGCGCGUGUAGGCGGUUCGGUAAGUCCGCUGUGAAAGUCGGGGGCUCAACCCUCGGAUGCCGGUGGAUACUGUCGGACUAGAGUGCGGAAGAGGCGAGUGGAAUUCCUGGUGUAGCGGUGAAAUGCGCAGAUAUCAGGAGGAACACCGAUUGCGAAGGCAGCUCGCUGGGACGUUACUGACGCUGAGACGCGAAAGCGUGGGGAGCAAACAGG
This 253-nucleotide ribosomal RNA is filed under the name uncultured bacterium. RNAcentral describes it as "partial 16S ribosomal RNA". It matches the Rfam family "Bacterial small subunit ribosomal RNA", at positions 524 to 776 of the family's 1533-position model. The record is from RNAcentral.